This 774-nucleotide ribosomal RNA is filed under the name uncultured Neocallimastigales. Its description in RNAcentral is "partial large subunit ribosomal RNA". It matches the Rfam family "Eukaryotic large subunit ribosomal RNA", at positions 24 to 646 of the family's 3401-position model. The record is from RNAcentral. Lineage: Eukaryota; Fungi; Neocallimastigomycota; Neocallimastigomycetes; Neocallimastigales.
AUCUCUGUAGAGUCUGCAUAUCAAUAAGCGGAGGAAAAGAAACUAACAAGGAUUCCCUUAGUAACGGCGAGUGAAGCGGGAAGAGCUCAAAUUUGAAAUCUUCAAGGUUCUACCUUGACGAAUUGUAGUUUAUAGAAGUGUUUUCUGUUAGUAGAGUGGCAAAAGUUCUUUGGAAUAGGACAUCAUAGAGGGUGAGAAUCCCGUAUUUGGUCAUUCUUUCUAGCUUUGUGAUACACUUUCAACGAGUCGGAUUGUUUGGGAAUGCAGUCCAAAAUGGGUGGUAAAUUUCAUCUAAAGCUAAAUAUUGGCGAGAGACCGAUAGCGAACAAGUACCGUGAGGGAAAGAUGAAAAGAACUUUGAAAAGAGAGUUAAACAGUACGUGAAAUUGUCAAAAGGGAAGCGUUUGACACCAGUGUUGUUUUUCCGAAAAUCAAUUACGAAUGUUUUGUUUUUGAGAAGUUAUGACUUCAUCGGCUUGCUUCUUUCUUUACGAAACUUUCUUAAUGCACUUUUCGGUUAACAAGUCAACAUCAAUUUCUUUUGUUGUAAAAGGGUAUGAGGAAGGUGGCUUUCUUUUCGGAGAAAGUGUUUACAGCCUUGUGCCUCUGCAAUCGGAGAGAUUGAGGUCUGCAGCGUAGAUCCUUCGGGGUUAGAUACAUUUGUGCUAAGUUAUAGCUUUUCAUAGACAACUUGUUGACUAUGUUUAGUCUUGUAGCUUACUCGCUUACUGCUAUUUUACCUACGCUUAGGAUGUUGAUGUGAUACUGCGAGCA